CCUACGGGUGGCAGCAGUGAGGAAUAUUGGUCAAUGGCCGGAAGGCUGAACCAGCCAAGCCGCGUGAGGGAGGAAGGCGCAGAGCGUCGCAGACCUCUUUUGCCGGGGGACAAAAGGCAGGACUCGUCCGGUCCUGAGGGUACCCGGAGAAAAAGCAUCGGCUAAAUCCGUGCCAGCAGCCGCGGUAAUACGGAGGAGCCGAGCGUUAUCCGGAUUCAUUGGGUUUAAAGGGAGCGUAGGCGGGCCUUUAAGCCGGCGGUGAAAUCGCGGGGCUCAACCCCGCAGAGCCGUCGGAACUGGGGGCCUUGAGUGCGGCGGAGGAAGGCGGAAUGCGCGGUGUAGCGGUGAAAUGCAUAGAUAUCGCGAAGAACCCCGAUUGCGAAGGCAGCGGGCCGUGCCGCCACUGACGCUGAGGCACGAAAGCGCGGGGAUCGAACAGGAGUAGAUACCCGUGUAGUC
RNAcentral lists this ribosomal RNA (459 nucleotides) under uncultured bacterium. RNAcentral describes it as "partial 16S ribosomal RNA". It matches the Rfam family "Bacterial small subunit ribosomal RNA", at positions 338 to 795 of the family's 1533-position model. The record is from RNAcentral.